UACAGAGGGUGCGAGCGUUGUUCGGAAUUACUGGGCGUAAAGCGUGCGCAGGCGGUCUGUUAAGACCGAUGUGAAAUCCCCGGGCUUAACCUGGGAACUGCAUUGGUGACUGGCAGGCUUUGAGUGUGGCAGAGGGAGGUAGAAUUCCACGUGUAGCAGUGAAAUGCGUAGAGAUGUGGAGGAAUACCGAUGGCGAAGGCAGCCUCCUGGGCCAACACUGACGCUCAUGCACGAAAGCGUGGGGAGCAAACAGG
This 254-nucleotide ribosomal RNA is filed under the name uncultured bacterium. RNAcentral describes it as "partial 16S ribosomal RNA". It matches the Rfam family "Bacterial small subunit ribosomal RNA", at positions 524 to 776 of the family's 1533-position model. The record is from RNAcentral.